RNAcentral lists this ribosomal RNA (434 nucleotides) under uncultured bacterium. Its description in RNAcentral is "partial 16S ribosomal RNA". It matches the Rfam family "Bacterial small subunit ribosomal RNA", at positions 29 to 507 of the family's 1533-position model. The record is from RNAcentral.
AGCGAACGCUGGCGGCAGGCCUAACACAUGCAAGUCGAACGAACCUUUCGGGGUUAGUGGCGGACGGGUGAGUAACACGUGGGAACGUGCCUUUAGGUUCGGAAUAACUCAGGGAAACUUUUUCUAAUACCGAAUGUGCCCUUCGGGGGAAAGAUUAAUCGCCUUUAGAGCGGCCCGCGUCUGAUUAGCUAGUUGGUUGAGGUAAUGGCUCACCAAGGCGACGAUCAGUAGCUGGUCUGAGAGGAUGAUCAGCCACAUUGGGACUGAGACACGGCCCAAACUCCUACGGGAGGCAGCAGUGGGGAAUCUUGCGCAAUGGGCGAAAGCCUGACGCAGCCAUGCCGCGUGAAUGAUGAAGGUCUUAGGAUUGUAAAAUUCUUUCACCGGGGACGAUAAUGACGGUACCAGGAGAAGAAGCCCCGGCUAACUUCGUG